CAACCGUGGAUUGUGUAGUAUUGUAGUAUUUACUAUUGAAAAAAAAUCUUUGUAUAAGUGGACUCAUGUAGUUCAAACCUCUGUUAUUCAAGAGUCAACUGUAUAAACAAUGUUUUCAAAGAACCAGUGUUUGGUUUUAUUGACUUGUUUUGUAUUUUUGUUUUGAUCUCUGGUCUAGAUAUUAUUUCCUUUCUUUUGCUUGUUUUAGACUUAAUUUGUUCUUUCUCUAGUUUCUUUAAUACAAGCUUUGGUUACUGAUUUUAGGUAUUUUAUUUUAUUUUAUUUUUUUGUCUUUUUAGGGAUGCACCUGCAGCAUAUGGAGGUUCUCAGGCUAGGGUUUGAAUCAGAGCUGUGGCUGCUGGCCUACGCCACAGCCACAGUAAGGCCACAUCUGAGCCAUGUCUGCAACUCACACCAUAGCUCAUGGGCAGGACCAGAUUCUUAACCCACUGAGCAAGGCUAGGGAUUAAACCUGCAUCCUCAUGGAUGCUAUAGUCGGAUUCAUUUUGGCUGAGCCACAACGGGAACUCCAAGUCUUUAUUAUUUUUUAAUAUAUUUAUUUAGUGCUGUGAAUUUCCCUGUUAGCACUACUUUAACUGCAUCCAACAUAUUUUGAUGUAUUGUAUUUUCAUCUUUAGUUCAAUGUCUUCAGUUUUAAUUUCACUUGAGACUUUCUCUUUGAUCUAUAUGUUAUUUAGACUUUGUUGUUUAAUUUCUAGUUAUUUGGGAAUUUGCCAGAUAGUUCUCUCUUGUUAAUUUCCAGUUUGAAUUUAUAUUUUAGAAUGCUCUUUAUAUUAUUAUUACUAUUUUCUUAAUUCAAUGAGAUUCAUUUUAUAGACCAAAACAUAAUGUUUUGCUCAGUGUUAUGCAUGUGUAUUUUAGAAAAAUAUGCAUUUUAUUGUUAUUAUUUGGAGUUCUAUAAUUAUAUCAGGUUGGUUAAUUAUGUUGUUCAGGCCUUCUGUGUCUUUUCUGGUUUUCUGACUGUAUUAAUAAUAACUUUGAGAGAGCGGUAUUGAAUCCCAAAGUAAUUUUGGAUUUACUUAUUUGUCCUUUCACACCUAUCAUUUAUUGUCUUAUGUAUUUUGUUAGGUGUAUAUGCAUAUGGGAUUAUUAUAUCUUUUGUAAGAUGUCAUCCUUUUAUUUUUUCGUAAUGUUCCUCUUUGUUCUCUGAUAAUCUUUCUUGUUCUUAUGUUUGUUUCAAAAUAAUAUAGAUUCUCAAGUUUUUCUUUGGUUAGUAUUUCAUGCUAUGUCUUUCUUUUUACUUUUAAUCUUUGUAUAUACAUAAAGUUUAUGUGGGUGUACGUUUCACAGUACCAACCACAGGUUGGUGGUUGGGUUUUUAGGUCAGAUAAUUAGAGUGAGUAUAUUGGUGGAUUGGCUUGUGUUUUAUCCCCUAUGACAGUGUCUGUCUUUUUUCUGGUGUUGUUUAGACCAUUUCAAUUUUAAAGAACAAAUUUUUUUUGCAGGUAAAACUUACAUACCAAAUAAUUUGCUCAUUUAAAGUGUACAAUUAAAUAAUUCUUGGAGUUCUCAUUGUGGUGCAGCGGAAAUGAAUCUGACUAGUAACCAUGAGGUUGCAGGUUCGAUCCCUGGCCUCGCUCAGUGGAUUGGGGUUCUGGCAUUGCCGUGAGCUGUGGUAUAGGUCGCAGACAUAGCAUGGAUCCCAUGUGGCUGUGGUGUAGGCUGGCAGCUGUAGCUCCGAUUCAACACCUAGCCUGGGAACCUCCAUAAGCUGCAAGUGCAGCCCUAAAAAGACCAAAAAAAAAAAAAAAAACUUUGUAAAUUUAAUGAGUUCUUCAACCAUUACCAUAAUCUGGUUUCAUAACAUUUUCUCAUACUAGUUUAAAUUUAAUCUCUGUUCCUACCUUUAACUCCAGGCAAACACUAAUCUACUUUUGUUUCUAUAGAUUUGUCUUUUCUGGACCUUUCAUACAAUUGGAAUCAUAUAACACGUCUUUUGUGUUUGAUUUCUUUUACAUAGGUUAAUUAUUUUGAGGUUCAUACAUAUUAUUAUAUGUAUGUAGUAUUUCAUUUUUUAAAUUUGCAAAUAAUAUUUCAGUUAUAUGAUUAUUGUUUCUGCAUUAAACACUUGAGAAUUUGAGUUGUUUAUGUUUUAUUGGCUAUCAAAUUAUGCUUCUGUGAACAUUCACAUGGAAAUCUUUAUGUGGAUAUGUUUUCAUUUCUCUUAUGUGUGAAAUUGUAGGAUCAUAUAUUAAUUUAUGUUUAACUUUUUAAGAAAUUCUCAAGUUUUUUUUUCACAGUAACUAUAACAUAUUACAUUCCCACCAGCAAUGAAGAUGGGUUAAUGAUGUUUACUUUUUUUAAGAUUUUUCUUUUUUCUAUUAUAGUUGAUUUACAAUGUUUUGUUGAUUUCUGCUCAGCUGCAGCUCCCAUUCAACCCCUAGCCCGGGAAUUUCCAUAUGAUGCAGGUGCGGACCUAAAAUGAAGGGGAAAAAAAAAAAA
Molecule: long non-coding RNA, 2463 nt
Filed under: Sus scrofa (pig)
Lineage: Eukaryota; Metazoa; Chordata; Mammalia; Artiodactyla; Suidae
Description: lncRNA (ENSSSCG00030060460.1, ENSSSCG00060040079.1, ENSSSCG00180039347.1)
Source: RNAcentral